RNAcentral lists this unclassified non-coding RNA (215 nucleotides) under Hevea brasiliensis (rubber tree). The record is from RNAcentral. Lineage: Eukaryota; Viridiplantae; Streptophyta; Magnoliopsida; Malpighiales; Euphorbiaceae.
GUUUGAUGUGUUGUUCUAUGGGAACAAAUGGCCCUCACCCUUAAAAUUUCAAUCCUCAGCCCAUGUCCAACAUCCUCUGUCUUCUUCCUCCCUAAUUUCCCAAAUAGAAAGUGAUGCGAUACACUAACUUGUACAACUCUGUGAAGCUCCUGAUCAAUCUCUCCUCCUAAUUUCAUUGUGUGAUACCCACUAGGUGUACCAUGCCUUCGCAGCUG